CCUACGGGAGGCAGCAGUGGGGAAUAUUGGGCAAUGGGCGCAAGCCUGACCCAGCAACGCCGCGUGAAGGAAGAAGGCUUUCGGGGUGUAAACUUCUUUUAAGAGGGAAGAGCAGAAGACGGUACCUCUUGAAUAAGCCACGGCUAACUACGUGCCAGCAGCCGCGGUAAUACGGAGGUGGCAAGCGUGGUCCGGAUUUACUGGGUGUAAAGGGCGUGCAGCCGGGAAGACAAGUCAGAGGUGAAAUCCCGCGGCUCAACCGCGGAACUGCAUUUGAAACUGUUUUUCUCGAGUACCGGAGAGGUCAUCGGAAUUUCUUGUGUAGCGGUGAAAUGCGUAGAUAUAAGGAAGAACACCAGUGGCGAAGGCGGAUGACUGGACGGCAACUGACGGUGAGGCGCGAAAGCGUGGGGAGCAAACAGGAUUAGAUACCCGGGUAGUC
This 442-nucleotide ribosomal RNA is filed under the name uncultured bacterium. Its description in RNAcentral is "partial 16S ribosomal RNA". It matches the Rfam family "Bacterial small subunit ribosomal RNA", at positions 338 to 795 of the family's 1533-position model. The record is from RNAcentral.